Non-coding RNA from Peromyscus maniculatus bairdii (prairie deer mouse), 2127 nucleotides. Lineage: Eukaryota; Metazoa; Chordata; Mammalia; Rodentia; Cricetidae. The record is from RefSeq and is a predicted model, not a curated record.
CUCACUAUGUGGACCAAGCUGCCUUGGAACUCACAGAAAUCCUCCUGUUUCUGACUCCUGAGUGCUUCACUCAUUCUUUUCCUUUGUUGGGCACGGUGGCACGUGCCUGCAAUCCUACCACUCUGGAAGCUGGAGGAAGAGGAGUGUUGAAAAAUUUGAGUCAGGCUUAUAUACUGCGCUACAUAGUGAGUUUGAGGCCAGUCUGGAUGACGUAGCAAAACCCUGUGUUAAAACACAAAAUAGGACCAGGGCGACAGAUCAGUGGGUAAGAGAUGUGAUGAGAACCUGAGUUCAAAUCCUCAGGACCCACGCCACCUCGUUAUUUCCUGUUGCUGCGAUAAACACCGUGACCAAAAGCAACUUGGGAGGAACGAGUUUAUUUGACUUGUGUGUCCUCUUCACAGUCCAUCACUGACGGAAGCAGAGACAGGAACUCGAGGCAGGAACCUGGAGGCAGGAACUGAUGUAGAGGCCACGGAGGAGGGCUGCUUACUGGCCUGCUCAGCCUGCUUUCUUACAGAACUCAGGUCUACCCGCCCAGGGGUGGUGUGCCCACAGUGGGCUGGGCCCUCCCCCAUCAAUCAGUAAUCAAGGAAAUGCUCCACAGACAUGCCUGCAGGAGGAGCUGAUGGAGGAACGUCUUCAAUUUCUGUUCCCUGGUGACCCUGGUUUGUGUCAAGUUGAUUAAAUGAACCAGCACACCAUCUGUUGUGUGUAACACACUUGUACAACAAGAUGGAGAUGGGAGGGGAGUCCUUGGACGUUCAAGGGCAGCUGGCCAGUGUGCACAGCCACAAAAACCACAAAUGAGCAAGGUGGACAGUGAGGUCAUCCUCUAACCUCCAUGAGUGCCCGCACUCACACCCAAGAUUGCACACAAACACACAGACGUACAUUAGACACACAAAAAUAAAUAACAAGCACAAAAAAUAAUCUUUUUUUUUCUUUUUUGCAGGAGGAGUGUGGAAUGAGAGUCAGUGUUUAACAGGCACAGAGUUUUCAUUUGGUUCUGGAGACGGUGGUGCUGAUGACUGCCAGGCAUUUGGAAUAUGCUGAAUGCCACCGAUUCACACAAUUAAAAAGGUUAAAAUGAUUAACUUGAGAAUCAGCUUGUCCCAUUCUAUUAAAAGUCCCUUUGGCCGGGCGGUGGUGGCGCACGCCUUUAAUCCCAGCACUCGGGAGGCAGAGCCAGGCGGAUCUCUAUGAGUUCGAGGCCAGCCUGGGCUACCAAGGGUCAGGACGAGGACAGGCCUGAGGUGCCAGAGAUGGGAGCUGUUGCUUGCCGCUGACGAGGACGUGGACGAGAUGCUUCUCAAGCCGUGGAGCCGUCGUGGCCUCGGAGCCAGGAGAUCCUGUCACACACGAAGUUCCUUGGUUUCUCAGAAAAGGGUGAAUUCUAAGGGUGGGUUUCACUGUCUCCUCCGGGCUGUCAGUGCACGUGACAGGGACUGUGUGAGUUGGGUCAUUCCUGUGCAGGGUUCCUGCUGGUCCCCAGGGGACAGAGGUGGCUCUGAGUCCACAGCUUGGCAAACGACAGGGCUGGUCCUGUGCCCCUGCUCACUCUUGGGCCAGGUCCCUACCCAGUAGCCAGUGUGUGUGCCCCAUGCUGAUCACAGGGUGGUGUGUGGGCAGCGCAGGAGAGGUGGCUAAGAUGUGGGGCUUUGGAGACACGACCGAGGUCUCCCCCCCCUCCCCGCCCCCCACCAAAGGUCCUAACUUAGGCUUCAAAGGAAACCCCUGCUUCCUGGUGGAACCCCAUGGAAUCUUCACUUUCAUUUGUCUAUCAUUCUGUUUUCUUUUUAUAAGGGGUCUCCUGUAGCCCAGGCUGGUCUCGGACUCAUUGUUAGGUCUCAAACCUGGGACAAAUGGCUGAAGGGCCGAUUUAACACAUCAAAGCGGACAGUGUCUGGCCAGGUUCUCCUUGAGUGCCUCAGUCCCUGCCUGUUACAGGGUCCUCCUGGUCUGCAGACCCCCUCCCCUCCCCUAAACUUCGGCAGCCCAGGGCUUGGGCUGCCCUUCCCCCAGCUGCCCUGCUCCAUAUAAUCCAGCCAUUUUGGUUACCCCUCUCCAUUCCCCUCCCCCUCUCCCCACAUGGCCCAGCUCAGUCUGGUCAGGUCCGCUCUGGAC